UACGUAGGGUGCAAGCGUUAAUCGGAAUUACUGGGCGUAAAGCGUGCGCAGGCGGCCGUGCAAGACAGAUGUGAAAUCCCCGGGCUCAACCUGGGAACUGCAUUUGUGACUGCACGGCUGGAGUGCGGCAGAGGGGGAUGGAAUUCCGCGUGUAGCAGUGAAAUGCGUAGAUAUGCGGAGGAACACCGAUGGCGAAGGCAAUCCCCUGGGCCUGCACUGACGCUCAUGCACGAAAGCGUGGGGAGCAAACAGG
Molecule: ribosomal RNA, 253 nt
Filed under: uncultured bacterium
Lineage: Bacteria
Description: partial 16S ribosomal RNA
Rfam family: Bacterial small subunit ribosomal RNA
Source: RNAcentral